GACGAACGCUGGCGGCGUGCCUAACACAUGCAAGUGGAGCGACGAACCAGGGCUUGCCCUGGGGCCAAGCCGCGAACGGGUGAGUAACACGUGGGUAACCUGCCCCGAUGACCGGGACAACUCGAGGAAACUCGGGCUAAUACCGGAUGUACUCCGCGCACCUAAGUGCAAGGAGUAAAGGAAGCUUCGGCCUCCGCUUCGGGAGGGGCCCGCGGCCCAUUAGCUAGUUGGUGAGGUAACGGCUCACCAAGGCAACGAUGGGUAGCUGGUCUGAGAGGACGAUCAGCCACACUGGGACUGAGACACGGCCCAGACUCCUACGGGAGGCAGCAGUGGGGAAUCUUGCGCAAUGCGCGAAAGCGUGACGCAGCAACGCCGCGUGGGGGAAGAAGGCCUUCGGGUUGUAAACCCCUUUCAGGAGGGACGAAGGUAGGGCAGUGAACAGCUGUCCCUACUGACGGUACCUCCAGAAGAAGCCCCGGCUAACUACGUGCCAGCCGCCGCAGUAA
This 509-nucleotide ribosomal RNA is filed under the name uncultured bacterium. RNAcentral describes it as "partial 16S ribosomal RNA". It matches the Rfam family "Bacterial small subunit ribosomal RNA", at positions 28 to 523 of the family's 1533-position model. The record is from RNAcentral.